This 579-nucleotide ribosomal RNA is filed under the name uncultured bacterium. Its description in RNAcentral is "bacterial SSU rRNA". It matches the Rfam family "Bacterial small subunit ribosomal RNA", at positions 331 to 929 of the family's 1533-position model. The record is from RNAcentral.
CCAGACUCCUACGGGAGGCAGCAGUGGGGAAUAUUGCACAAUGGGGGAAACCCUGAUGCAGCGACGCCGCGUGAGCGAUGAAGGCUUUCGAGUCGUAAAGCUCUGUCCUAUGGGAAGAUAAUGACGGUACCAUAGAAGAAAGCCCCGGCUAAUUACGUGCCAGCAGCCGCGGUAAUACGUAAGGGGCGAGCGUUGUCCGGAAUUAUUGGGCGUAAAGAGUGCGUAGGCGGCAAAUUAAGUCAGAUGUGAAAACUAAGGGCUCAACCCAUAGAUUGCAUCUGAAACUGAUAUGCUUGAGUCAAGGAGAGGAAAGUGGAAUUCCUAGUGUAGCGGUGGAAUGCGUAGAUAUUAGGAGGAAUACCGGUGGCGAAGGCGACUUUCUGGACUUGAACUGACGCUGAGGCACGAAAGCGUGGGGAGCAAACAGGAUUAGAUACCCUGGUAGUCCACGCCGUAAACGAUGAGUGCUAGGUGUCUGCUCAUACGAGUAGGUGCCGUACGUUAACACAUUAAGCACUCCGCCUGGGGAGUACGUACGCAAGUAUGAAACUCAAAGGAAUUGACGGGGGCCCGCACAAG